This 253-nucleotide ribosomal RNA is filed under the name uncultured bacterium. Its description in RNAcentral is "partial 16S ribosomal RNA". It matches the Rfam family "Bacterial small subunit ribosomal RNA", at positions 524 to 776 of the family's 1533-position model. The record is from RNAcentral.
UACGGGGGGAGCAAGCGUUGUUCGGAUUUACUGGGCGUAAAGGGCGCGUAGGCGGUAGCACAAGUCAGUUGUGAAAUCUCCGGGCUUAACUCGGAAAGGUCAACUGAUACUGUGCGACUAGAGUGCAGAAGGGGCAACUGGAAUUCUUGGUGUAGCGGUGAAAUGCGUAGAUAUCAAGAGGAACACCUGCGGCGAAGGCGGGUUGCUGGGCCGACACUGACGCUGAGGCGCGAAAGCUAGGGGAGCGAACGGG